Molecule: non-coding RNA, 172 nt
Filed under: Pontibacillus halophilus
Lineage: Bacteria; Bacillati; Bacillota; Bacilli; Caryophanales; Bacillaceae
Also listed under: 1 other name
Description: GlcN6P sequence
Rfam family: glmS glucosamine-6-phosphate activated ribozyme aptamer
About the family: This entry contains a glucosamine-6-phosphate activated ribozyme that is found in the mRNA for GlmS.
Source: RNAcentral
UCCAUUCUAAAAGCGCCUGGACUAUUUCCGAAAACGGAUUGGGAGAUAGUUGACGAGGAGGAGGUUCAUCGAGAAUCGGCGGAUGCCUCCCGGCUGACGUACUUCAGCUGAUACGUACUCCCCUGAAAACAAAGAGGUGACUCUUUGCACAAGGGUGGAUACAAAGUACAAC